CUGCCCCACGGGCUGCAACCUGAGCUGCAGCACCUCCCAUCUGCACAGCUCGUUACAUUCCUCGCUGCCUGCAUGGCCCCGCUGCCAGAUGUCCGCGAGGAAGCCCGUGCAAGCUGCGACUGGAAACGGGCUCCGUGCUUUCAUCCUGCAUCCUCCCGGGGAGAGGCGCUGGGGCUGGGGUUGCUUUGCUCGGCUGCUGCUGGUGAUUCCCGCUGCUGCUUGCUUGCCCUCUCCUUUGGGGUGUUUUUUGCUGAGCAGAGAGCCCGGCUGGGUGAUGUGGGGAAAUGUGGGGUGUGGGAGAAGGAGCAGCCAACGUGGUGCCUGCAAAGUGCUGCCCUGCCAAAACUCAGCGGUGAACACGGAGCUAUCCCCGCUCCUGCUGACCCCUGCCAGCAAGCAAGGAGCCAUCACUGGAGGUCACACAGGGGCUCUGCAAGCCCCAAAUGAGCCAAAAAUGUGGAAACCCAUGAGCACAACCGUCUUUUAAAAUUUUGCCUCUUCUCCUCCACGUCAUCCUGAUCCUGGUUAUCUCAGCUGAACAGAGAGCUGGGAUCCCUCCCAGGUAACUGUCUUUUGGCCUCCUUCAUGGUGGUUGGAGUCCCAGAUCCUGCCAGCCUGACCAAACACUGCUCAGAUCACCCCCUUGCUCCAAAAAGCGAGGUGAGCCCCUGCAAACAGGAGAGGUUCUCGUAAACACCCCAGUGAGGGACUUGGCUCCACGCAGACACAACAACAAACGUUGGCUUCCACUUCAAAAGCCUCACAGUUUAAAAAGCAGCUAUGAUGCAACCUCACAUGUAUGUGAGCAUGUAGGGCAAUACCUGGUUGCUAGUAGGAGGCUGCAGUUUGGGUCUGUUGGCCCAAAAUACUUGGAAUAAUUGGUGGUGCCAGGUCCAGGGCAGCCACACGCCCCAGGGGACACUGACAGCGCAGCCAUGGUCAGCAAGUGUCUGGGGGCAUCUCUCCUGGGGAUGUUUUUCUGUCCCCUGUGAUUUAGACAGCAGCCAGGGAAAUAUCUGGGUGCCUGGCACCCAGGAAGCAGAAGAUCUGGAAAGGGCACCCAUCAGCUCUGGUGCCUUUGGUUGGGCAAGCACAAGGUGAAUUUUGGACAAGGUGAUAUCUUGUGUCAGACCAAUGGAUGAAGCAAGAAGGCCGCACUCCCUGAAAGCACUUUUAUUGUGUUUGUGCAGCUCAGACCGCAGCAUGGAUUUCGGGGAAGAUCAUUUUGGGUCCCUGUGGUGACACAGGAGACUGGGAACUGCUUGGAAGAGAGGGCAUACAAACAUCUUCCUGUCCAGUGUUAUGCUCCCCAGGCAGUUUUGGGGCUACAGGAGGUUGGAAACACUCUGACAUGGUUGCAAAAGUGGGGAGCCUGGGGAGAGAGCUUGCCACGAGCUGUUCCCCUCGCACUGGGAGCUGGCAGGAAGGGCACAGCUUUGUCCCAUUGUAGCUCAGUCAUGGGAUUAAGAAAGCUCUUUAAUCAUUGUUUGUUACACACACACAACGGCAUGCUCAGAGUGAAAGUGCAGAGGGAGCCAGCACCUGGCAAAGCCAUUAUUGGUCACUCCAAUUUAUUUCUAGACUGAUGCUGAAAAAAAGAAAAAAAAGCAAUCCCCUGCCAAGAGAAGAUCUCAGCCCGCACAGUCGGAGAGGUUUGUGGGCUGUGAUGGAGGUGCACAGAGGGAUGCAAGGUGUGGAUGGGGCAGGGGGACACCCCCUUCUGCCCCAUUGGAGCUGUCCCCAGGCAGCUGCCUGCUUGCAAGACACGGCCACCACUCGCCCCCUCAGCCUCCACCCAGGUCCAGGGUCCCCACCUCUUAAUUCCAGACAUCUCACAAAUAAGGCCGGUCGCAAUAAAAGCUUAUCAACCCAUAAAACGCACCCUCCCGAGCACAUAUUCCCAGGACAAGGCUGUGAUAAGGGGUUCAAACACAGGAAACGGGAGGGAGAGCACAAUAACAACGGCACUUUAGGGAGGCCCUACAUAAACAAUGACCCGUCUGUGUGCUAAGCAAGAGGGCAGACGGCACCCAGCUCUAUGGUGGCAUUGCACAGGCAUCUGCAGGGUGUGAUGGAGGUGGCUCAGCCCCAUCCGAGCUGCUGGCCCUGCAAGGAUUCAUCCCAGGCCACAAUCGGUGGUGAUGGAGCUGCUGGAGCUUGGGGCUGAGCGAGCAGGGAGGUUUACCUGAGGGCAUCACAUCUGGUAGAGUCCAGUAGCACUAUUUAAUUUUAUUUUAUUUUUUGUAAUUUAAUUUGGAAUAACGCGUACUGCAAAGCCUGGUAAACGUUAUUCAAAUAUUUGUGAAGUCAGGGUGUGCUCCAGUCUGCCAGCAGCUCCCUCGUGUCCUUUCUUUGAGCUAGGAAGGAUCAACCCAUCUGAAAGGAAAAUACUUCAGUGACAUGUUUACUUUCUUCACAGCUUGUUUUCUCGCCUGGAUGGGAAAGCCUGAGGCCAUCGGCGGGGUUCACAGCCCUCCAGCCUGCUGCAGGCUGGCAGGUGGCGGCACCCGCUGCAGCAUGCCAGAGCCCCUCGCCCUGUCUCCCAAAUGCUCCAUGGACAAAUUAAAGUUUUCAUGGUUGCUCGUGCAGGGGUAAAGGGUCCCAGCUUAAAUCCAUCAGGAUGCUAUCCUACAGCCACAGUAAAUAAAACCUCCAUCCUUGCCUCCCCAAAGCCAAGGCGGGUCGUUGUCCCUAUGGCUGCUGCGUGGUACCAGGGACAUGGGCAUAAUUGCUGCAGCCACAGACCUGGGACUCUGGCAAGCCUGGAUUACCUCUGAGAGACCACUGAAAAGUUUUUAGGGAUUGUCCCACUAAAAUGAGGCUAAAACUCACGGUUCUGCCAUGGCUUUCAUACCCUUUGCUCCCCAAGACAAAGGUUGUCCUGUUCUAUAAAUGCAUCUUCCCUUUUCAUUCCUAGAUGUAGGACUCUACGUGGUUGUACUAAGUAAAGGUGCUUUAGGGUUGUACCAAGCUGAGCAGUCUGGCUUACCCUGUAAGAACCAUUUAUAAAUAAUAUUUAAAUGGUUUUAUUUUCUCCACCAAACAAGUAAAACUUGGGAGGCUCAGGAAUUGAUUUUCAUCCAACCCCACCGGAAAAGUGGCUGCGUGACCACAACUCCCCAUGGCAGCAGCAUUUUGCAGCCCACAGGCAGCCACUUUUGACCUCCUAUGAGGUAUGCCAUGGUGGUUUUAUAUCAAUAAAGUUUAUCAAUCUGUAUAUCAAACUGAGCAGUAGACUCCACUCCAGCUCCAUUUGUGCUGUGGCCAGACGCCAAAGCAAAUCACUUGAGCAGGCCGACUGCAUUGACAGUAUCAUCUUUAUCAGCCCAAAUGCAAGCCCUGUAGAAAUGAAGAAGUUAGUAGAGAUCUGUUUUCAUCAUCUUCUGGGAUUGGCAUCAGUUACACUCUCCCUUUAAUUAACUUCACUUUGCUUUCUCUAAAAGCCAUCUCAGUAUUUCAGCCGUGAUGGCUGUCAAGCUGGCAGGCUCCAAAUAACCCAGGGGGCCCGGUUGCCCUUUCCAAAAUAGUGGCUUCUUUCUAGAUCUCCUCCCAGCCUGCCACGGAGGAGAAAAUUUUGGGUCUGGAAGACCAAAACACCCACGCUGCCCUUUAACAGCACAGUGCCACAUCCAUUCCCAAAGGCAAUGGGCACCAGUGAGCGCUGGUGGGACCUUCUCCAGAGAGCUUCUCCAGUCCUACCUAGUCCCCAGGGAGGAGGACCUGGGGACAAGCGGUGGUUUUGUAGUGUGGACAAACAUCUCCCGGGUUCUCUUUGGGAUUUUUCCAACUUUUCCUUUGUGAGUGGGGUGAGGAUUUGACCCCAAGCCUUCCCAAGUGCCGCUCUCGAGCAUUAAUCCAACAGGGUGCCUCCAUUUCCAUGACCCCAUUUCCACCCUCAGCGUUACAAUCCACUCUAGCUCCAUGAGCUGUUCCAGAUGUUUUGGAAACCCCUUGCAGUUUGGUAAAAGCUCUUGGAAAAAAAAAAAAAAAAAAAAAAAAAA
Molecule: non-coding RNA, 4001 nt
Organism: Anas platyrhynchos (mallard)
Lineage: Eukaryota; Metazoa; Chordata; Aves; Anseriformes; Anatidae
Source: RefSeq, a predicted model, not a curated record